GAAAACUCCCCGUCCUACUCACUCUCUCAACUUCUCUCUAAACCUUGUUUGUCGUCUCUAUCGCUUCUCUAUCGCUUCUCUAUCGCUCAUCCCAAACCUAUCUCAAACGCAAUCACCUCUCUCAAUCUCUUCCAAUCGCGUCUCUCUCACCCUCAAUCCUCUCAAACCUAAAGACGCCACAUAAGAGAGAUUCAGAGGGAAAACGAAGUGGUGCUCACCUUUGGAUAUGAUUCGGUGGUGGCAGCGAGCUUGCAAUGAGCUCUCUUUGUUAGGGUUACAAAUUGAUGCUCAAGAGUUCGAAAGGAGAAAGUUCCAGGAUUGCUUUUGGAUGCUCAGAAUUGGAGUGCCUUCUUUGAUCAUUGGACUCGGAAAGUGAAUUUCUUGGCCUUCGAUGGAAACUUAGGAGUACUGGCAGCAGCCUUUUCAGUCCUUUUUGGUAAAAGCAUUGGGUUGAUGCUUCUUCCGCCAUGGCCAAAUUUGAGACGAAUACACGCUGAGAUGAAUACACGCUUAGAGGCGUGAACGUGAAGAUUAUUGAGUUUCUUGACAAAAUAGGAGUUUUUCCCCUUGAGGAUGACGACUCAUCAUCCAAAGCCAAAAGAGAAUGUAAUUGCAGUAGAGAAAUUAUUGCAAACGCUCCCCGGUUUUCACACGAAGUUUGUCGGAAUCAAGAUUUUCUAGCUUGCUAACAACAGGAUUGAAUUGGAACGGUAUAUCCAAUUUUUCAGCUUCUUCGGAAAGCUUAUGAGCCAAUUUGAUCCGAGACCUCUUUUAAGCGAGUGGACCUACUUCUCAAAAUCUGCGUAUGGUCGACAAUAGCAUCCGAUAGAGUUGAUGAUUUCUGCUCUCUAAGAUCCAGCAACUUCUUUGUAGCAUAUCUAACAGUACUAUGAGGUUUACUUAAUCCUCCAAGAAGAGACCCACAAAACGAUGGCUUGAUUGAAGAAUUCAGAUUAGACAAACACCCCUCCAAAUCCCAGCCACCCCAGACUUUACUGUCAAAUUCUAAACCAGAGGAUGACGUGGGAUUAACCGUAGGUAUUUGGAAGGAGUUAAAGACGGUUUGGUGGUUUGAAAGUGGACGGUUAUUGCAGAGGAAAAACGAGAAUGAUGCAUGCCUAUCCAAUUUACUCUGCAAAUCUGGAGAGUGCUGAGAACCCAAUCCCUUGGACAAGUUUGCAGAUAUAUCAACUAGCAUGUGCAAACCAAUCGAUUUUUGAGGAAGGAAGUGUUCUAAACAUCUCAUCUGUUGUAGACUUUGGGGGAAAAUCAUACAACCUGCAGCAAGUUUGCUUCGACCCGCUGAGAUGUCGAGAGUCAUGAUUUUGCCAGGUUAUUUUCUACGGCAUAUGAUUGCAAUAUGAUAAUAAGCCUCCUCCUAGUACACCUUAAACCCUGCUCAUUCUCUUUCAGCAAAAACCGGUAAACGUCAUGCUUGCUGUAAUUGCAUUAGCACAUCAAUGUACUAAUCUGGUUAUCGUCAUUGCAGGUAGGACCUUGAUCAUCAUCGCAUCCCAUUGCAUAUACCUGCAAUCAGACUUACAACUUCUAUGCCCCAAAGAUAGACUCCCUGCUGUGAUGUGUGCAUUCUGCUGUCUGCCGAAAUCAAUUAAUGUUCAAAUUUAUUAAUUUUUUUCAGCAAUCCAUUGGCCCAGUCUUGGAGACUCAUUUUUUGACAAGCAUCAAGGGCUCGUUCCAACAUGCGAAGAGCCGUAAGGAAAUUGAAUGAGGCAAAGAGAACUUUGAAUCUAGUGCACACUACAAUGCUGAUUUUGGAAAAGAAUAAAAUCUAAUGUGAAAUUCUCAGAGCCAUGGAUAUGAAACGCAAGCUGCU
Long non-coding RNA from Lathyrus oleraceus (garden pea), 1834 nucleotides. RefSeq lists it as uncharacterized. The record is from RefSeq and is a predicted model, not a curated record. Lineage: Eukaryota; Viridiplantae; Streptophyta; Magnoliopsida; Fabales; Fabaceae. The transcript has 5 exons.